UUAGGUUAAGUUAGAAAGGGCGCACGGUGGAUGCCUUGGCACUAGGAGCCGAAGAAGGACGUGACGAACAACGAUAUGCCUCGGGGAGCUGUAAGUAAGCUUUGAUCCGGGGAUUUCCGAAUGGGGGAACCCACCAUCCGUAAUGGGAUGGUACCCAUAGCUGAAUACAUAGGCUAUGAGGAGGCAGACCUGGGGAACUGAAACAUCUAAGUACCCAGAGGAAGAGAAAGAAAUUAUCGAUUUCCUGAGUAGCGGCGAGCGAAACGGAAACAGCCCAAACCAAGGGGCUUGCCCCUUGGGGUUGUAGGACACUCUACACGGAGUUACAAAGAAACGAAGUAGACGAAGCGAUCUGGAAAGGUCCGCGAAACAAGGUAACAGCCCUGUAAUCGAAACUUCGUUUCCUCCAGAGUGUAUCCUGAGUACGGCGGGACACGUGAAACCCCGUCGGAAUCCGGGAGGACCAUCUCCCAAGGCUAAAUACUUCCUAGUGACCGAUAGUGAACCAGUACCGUGAGGGAAAGGUGAAAAGCACCCCGGGAGGGGAGUGAAAGAGAUCCUGAAACCGUGUGCCUACAAGUAGUUGGAGCCCAUUUACGGGUGACAGCGUGCCUUUUGUAGAAUGAACCGGCGAGUUACGAUUACGUGCAAGGUUAAGCUGAAGAGGCGGAGCCGCAGCGAAAGCGAGUCUGAAUAGGGCGAAUGAGUACGUGGUCGUAGACCCGAAACCGUGUGAUCUACCCAUGUCCAGGGUGAAGUUCAGGUAACACUGAAUGGAGGCCCGAACCCACGCACGUUGAAAAGUGCGGGGAUGAGGUGUGGGUAGGGGUGAAAUGCCAAUCGAACUCGGAGAUAGCUGGUUCUCCCCGAAAUAGCUUUAGGGCUAGCCUCGAGGGAAGAGUAUUGGAGGUAGAGCACUGAUUGGACUAGGGGUCCCCACAGGAUUACCGAAUUCAGUCAAACUCCGAAUGCCAAAUACUUAUCCUCGGGAGUCAGACUGCGAGUGCUAAGAUCCGUAGUCAAGAGGGAAACAGCCCAGACCAUCAGCUAAGGUCCCAAAGUAUACGUUAAGUGGAGAAGGAUGUGGAGUUGCCCAGACAACCAGGAUGUUGGCUUAGAAGCAGCCACCAUUUAAAGAGUGCGUAAUAGCUCACUGGUCGAGUGACUCUGCGCCGAAAAUGUACCGGGGCUAAACGUAUCACCGAAGCUAUGGAUUGCGCACCUGGUGCGCAGUGGUAGGGGAGCGUUCUAAGUGCAGCGAAGUCAGACCGGAAGGACUGGUGGAGCGCUUAGAAGUGAGAAUGCCGGUAUGAGUAGCGAAAAGAGGGGUGAGAAUCCCCUCCGUCGAAAGCCCAAGGUUUCCUGAGGAAGGCUCGUCCGCUCAGGGUAAGUCGGGACCUAAGCCGAGGCUGAAAAGCGUAGGCGAUGGACAACAGGUUGAAAUUCCUGUACCACCUCCUCACCGUUUGAGCAAUGGGGGGACGCAGAAAGGUAGGGUAAGCGCACUGAUGGAUAUGUGCGUCCAAGCAGUUAGGCUGAGAAGUAGGCAAAUCCGCUUCUCGCGAAGGCUGAGCUGUGAUGGCGAGCGAAAUUUAAGUAGCGAAGUUCCUGAUCCUACACUGCCAAGAAAAGCCUCUAGCGAGGUGAGAGGUGCCCGUACCGCAAACCGACACAGGUAGGCGAGAAGAGAAUUCUAAGACGCUCGGGAGAACUCGGAUCACGGUCCUAGGUUAGAAUUUCAAUACAAUCAGGGUAGUAUCCCACCGACGCCUCCACCGAAGCUGGCGCUCCGGGUUCUCUCAGAAUGGUUGGAAAUCAUUCGUAGAGUGCAAAGGCAAAAGGGAGCUUGACUGCGAGACCUACAAGUCGAGCAGGGACGAAAGUCGGGCUUAGUGAUCCGGUGGUUCCGCAUGGAAGGGCCAUCGCUCAACGGAUAAAAGCUACCCUGGGGAUAACAGGCUUAUCUCCCCCAAGAGUCCACAUCGACGGGGAGGUUUGGCACCUCGAUGUCGGCUCAUCGCAUCCUGGGGCUGAAGUAGGUCCCAAGGGUUGGGCUGUUCGCCCAUUAAAGCGGUACGCGAGCUGGGUUCAGAACGUCGUGAGACAGUUCGGUCCCUAUCCGUCGCGGGCGUAGGAAAUUUGAGAGGAGCUGUCCUUAGUACGAGAGGACCGGGAUGGACACACCGCUGGUGUACCAGUUGUUCCGCCAGGAGCAUAGCUGGGUAGCUACGUGUGGAAGGGAUAAGUGCUGAAAGCAUCUAAGCAUGAAGCCCCCCUCGAGAUGAGAUUUCCCUUGGAGUUAAUCCAGUAAGACCCCUUAAAGAUGAUGAGGUUGAUAGGUCUCGGGUGGAAGCACGGUGACGUGUGGAGCUGAGAGAUACUAAUCGGUCGAGGACUUAUCCUAUAA
Molecule: ribosomal RNA, 2407 nt
Filed under: Anaerobacillus sp. CMMVII
Lineage: Bacteria; Bacillati; Bacillota; Bacilli; Caryophanales; Bacillaceae
Description: 23S ribosomal RNA
Rfam family: Bacterial large subunit ribosomal RNA
Source: RNAcentral